RNAcentral lists this ribosomal RNA (471 nucleotides) under uncultured bacterium. RNAcentral describes it as "bacterial SSU rRNA". It matches the Rfam family "Bacterial small subunit ribosomal RNA", at positions 329 to 793 of the family's 1533-position model. The record is from RNAcentral.
CGCUAUCAUCCUACGGGAGGCAGCAGUGGGGAAUAUUGCACAAUGGGCGCAAGCCUGAUGCAGCCAUGCCGCGUGUGUGAAGAAGGCCUUCGGGUUGUAAAGCACUUUCAGUCGUGAGGAAGGUGGUGUAGUUAAUAGCUGCAUUACUUGACGUUAGCGACAGAAGAAGCACCGGCUAACUCCGUGCCAGCAGCCGCGGUAAUACGGAGGGUGCGAGCGUUAAUCGGAAUUACUGGGCGUAAAGCGCAUGCAGGUGGUUUGUUAAGUCAGAUGUGAAAGCCCGGGGCUCAACCUCGGAAUAGCAUUUGAAACUGGCAGACUAGAGUACUGUAGAGGGGGUAGAAUUUCAGGUGUAGCGGUGAAAUGCGUAGAGAUCUGAAGGAAUACCAGUGGCGAAGGCGGCCCCCUGGACAAAGACUGACGCUCAGAUGCGAAAGCGUGGGGAGCAAACAGGAUUAGAUACCCUGGUAG